UGGGCUGAGACUGUUGGGUUUUCUCGAU
RNAcentral lists this non-coding RNA (28 nucleotides) under Homo sapiens (human). Lineage: Eukaryota; Metazoa; Chordata; Mammalia; Primates; Hominidae. The record is from RNAcentral.